CUACGGGGGGCACCAGUGGGGAAUAUUGCACAAUGGAGGAAACUCUGAUGCAGCAACGCCGCGUGGAGGAUGACACUUUUCGGAGCGUAAACUCCUUUUAUAUAGGAAGAAGAUGACGGUACUAUAUGAAUAAGCGCCGGCUAACUCCGUGCCAGCAGCCGCGGUAAUACGGAGGGCGCAAGCGUUACUCGGAAUCACUGGGCGUAAAGAGCGUGUAGGCGGAUUAAAAAGUCAGAAGUGAAAUCCUAUAGCUUAACUAUAGAACUGCUUCUGAAACUCUUAAUCUAGAAUAUGGGAGAGGUAGAUGGAGUUUCUGGUGUAGGGGUAAAAUCCGUAGAGAUCAGAGGGAAUACCGAUUGCGAAGGCGAUCUACUAGAACAUUAUUGACGCUGAGACGCGAAAGCGUGGGGAGCAAACAGGAUUAGAUACCCUCGUAGUC
RNAcentral lists this ribosomal RNA (439 nucleotides) under uncultured bacterium. Its description in RNAcentral is "partial 16S ribosomal RNA". It matches the Rfam family "Bacterial small subunit ribosomal RNA", at positions 339 to 795 of the family's 1533-position model. The record is from RNAcentral.